UUUGUACUCCCUCCAUCCAGAAAUACUUGUCGGAGAAAUGGAUGUAUCUAGAACUAUUUUAGUUUUAGAUACAUCCAUUUUUAUCAAUUCUAGGACAAGUAUUUUCGGACGGAGGGAGUAUUUC
Molecule: non-coding RNA, 124 nt
Organism: Triticum aestivum (bread wheat)
Lineage: Eukaryota; Viridiplantae; Streptophyta; Magnoliopsida; Poales; Poaceae
Source: Rfam